Molecule: non-coding RNA, 415 nt
Organism: Arachis ipaensis
Lineage: Eukaryota; Viridiplantae; Streptophyta; Magnoliopsida; Fabales; Fabaceae
Source: RefSeq, a predicted model, not a curated record
AGAUUGCUUGAACAAAGGUUGAAGUUGGGACUAGAUCAACAGAUGCUUCAAUGGAUGAAUGGCUCGAGGGAACUGUAUAUGCUCAGUCCAAUGCAAACAAAUCAAAGAAGAAGAAGUAGAUGAACAAAUACUUUCAAGUUUCAGCCACACAAGAGUCUACCAUGGAGUGAAAAAUCAUGUAACUCAGAUUAGAUUGGAGAGUUUAAACUUUAAAGAGAGCAUGAGAAAAUAGUUUUAAAAUUUAGGCUGAAAGUCCUGCCUUUAUCUGUUGUAGUUUAAAAGAAAUUUUGGGGUAUCUUUUUAUUGAGACAGUGAGAUAUUGGAUAAUGGUGUUGAAAAAUAACAUCCAAUUUUAUAGGUAUCAUGUAAUAAAUAUUAUGUUUAUCUAUGUGAUUUUUGGCUUUCUUUUUUUCAA